Molecule: long non-coding RNA, 527 nt
Organism: Hemicordylus capensis (graceful crag lizard)
Lineage: Eukaryota; Metazoa; Chordata; Lepidosauria; Squamata; Cordylidae
Exons: 3
Source: RefSeq, a predicted model, not a curated record
AUUUAUGUGGUACUCUUGGUUAAAAAGUUACUUUUCUUAUUAUGCAUAGCUAGCAACAGUUGAGAGAUUACAUGCUGAACAUAAGUUGCUGAUUCUACAUGUGAGCCAGCCCUUAGACAUGCAGAAAUCAAUGCAGCAACAGUCUAGUUACCAAAGAGCAAGCUGCAAAUCAGCCUGCUGUCCAAUGAUGGCCCUGCUGGUACAAUUCUGCUUUAUUUCCUAUCUUCUGCAGCUGAAAUCCAAAGAGACUAUACAAAGCUGAUUAAAUAACCUAGGUCUGGAAAGCCUGACAGAAUGUUCAAGAAACUAAAUAGCAACAAUAUAAAAUGCUUUUGUGAAUCUUUAGUUGGGCACCCACUGGAAGAAAAUGCACAAUCACUGCUGUCACUGAAAGUAACAUAAUAAUCACCCAUAAUAUAGCAGUAAAUUUUGCAAGGAUGACAAAUCACAAAAAAUGAUUAAGCUGCAAUCAAGAAAUUGUUACACUGUUCUAUAGUCUCGCGUUGAUUACAUUUUAAAUAAACCAU